GGAGAGGCUAUUGCUUAAGUUUAUUUUUAUUUAGCCUACCACAAUUUGUCAUGUACAUUUAUUUAUUUAGUAGUAGUUGUAGGCCAUAGUGCAACUCUUGACACUCAUGGGAAGUUAAAGGCAGGGAUAAGUUCAUGCGUGAACGCGUGCGUUUUGGGGGAAAAUGAGGGCGUUGAGAUUCUUGAGCGCGUUUCACUCUCUUUGGUGAGUGGAACAGGUAGAGCGAGCUGACGCGCUUCCGGUCGCAGGUGAGAGAGAAGCCGUCAUGAACGCGCGCGUCAAAUAAAACUUCCUCACGCUGUGCGCUUGGACGCGGAGGUCUUGAUCGUUUGGGAUUCAAAAUAACAACAGCCGCGGGUCCUCCGCGGUUAACACGGCAGUUUCUCAGGUUAAAGUUACCUUCCAAAAUGUAAAAGGAUGACCACUGUGUAGUCACUAAUUACCAGCAUCAUGAGUUCAUUGAGCACAUUGGGCCUGUGCAUGCCAGUGAUGUUCUUUCUGGCUCUGGUCCUGGUUCUGUUCUCGUGCGUCCUCCGUAAGAAGCGGAAGAUGGAGGGAUCAUACCAGCCCAGCUCGGAAGAGCGGAAACAAGCCAAGAACAACGGAGCCGAGAGACCCGGUCUCACUCUUCCACUGCCCAAAGAGGAGAGACUGAUCUGAAUGCAGCCCUCAGAAAAGAUGCUGUUUAGGUGAACAGAUCUUUCAUUAUGACUUUGUGUUGAUACGCACCGGUGCAGUCCUGACAAAAAAGUGGAGGGUCAUGCAUGGAGAACGAUUAAAGUGGUGGUGGGUAUUUAUCUGAUGCUUUUGACUGAGAUGUGAGAAUGCUUUCAUUUGCUUUCACAACUUGGGACAUCUGAAGACACUGCCAAGUGUAUCAAAAGUAAAGAAGCCAGAUGAUUUAGAUGGACAGCCAAACCAGUUUGACUUUGUUUAAUUAAUCUGUACUUUAAGUUUACUGACCUGAGAGUCUUUGUGGAGGGGACAUGGCAGCUUCACCUCCAAAACAGUUUACCAUUAGCAUACUGAAUACUUUAAAUAUCCUACAUCAACAUUAAGUUGCAGUGUUUUCAUAGGUAGAGAGAGAAAUAUAUUGCACUUUGCCAAAUGUUGUUUUGUAUUAGGUUUGCAUUUUUUUAUAAUGUCUGUAACAUUGAUCAUCAUGUGAUGAAGUGACUGUAACUGUGGAUGAUUAAUUAAAUUGCAUCUGUGAGUUAA
Molecule: long non-coding RNA, 1218 nt
Organism: Carassius gibelio (silver crucian carp)
Lineage: Eukaryota; Metazoa; Chordata; Actinopteri; Cypriniformes; Cyprinidae
Exons: 3
Source: RefSeq, a predicted model, not a curated record